UACAGAGGGUGCAAUCGUUUACGGGAAUUACUGGGCCUAAAGCGAGCGUAGGUGGUUUGUUAAGUUGGAUGUGAAAGCACCGGGCUCAACCUUGGAACUGCAUCCAAAACUGGCAAGCUAGAGUACGGUAGAGGGUGGUGGAAUUUCCUGUGUAGCGGUGAAAUGCGUAGAUAUAGGAAGGAACACCAGUGGCGAAGGCGACCACCUGGACUGAUACUGACACUGAGGUGCGAAAGCGUGGGGAGCAAACAGG
Molecule: unclassified non-coding RNA, 253 nt
Filed under: uncultured Pseudomonadaceae bacterium
Lineage: Bacteria; Pseudomonadati; Pseudomonadota; Gammaproteobacteria; Pseudomonadales; Pseudomonadaceae
Description: contains 16S-23S intergenic spacer region
Rfam family: Bacterial small subunit ribosomal RNA
Source: RNAcentral